AGGUGUGGUAGAGGCGCGGUUUUCAUCAGUAGCUCCUUAACGGUGCGGAAACACACGGAGUAAAAGGGAACGCCGCCGAAGGGUCGCACAAUUUCCGUUGUACGAUACCUGGCAAGCGCGAGAAUAUCGUACUUGUUGCCGCUUUUGCGGAGAGCUAUCGUGGCG
Molecule: regulatory RNA element, 165 nt
Organism: Cryptobacterium curtum DSM 15641
Lineage: Bacteria; Bacillati; Actinomycetota; Coriobacteriia; Eggerthellales; Eggerthellaceae
Rfam family: Lysine riboswitch aptamer
About the family: Riboswitches are metabolite binding domains within certain messenger RNAs that serve as precision sensors for their corresponding targets.
Source: Rfam